UUUCUUGUGCUUUAGGAGUCUUGUUAAUGAAGUCAGGGCCUAAUCCAAUGUGAUAAUGAUUUGGGCCUACUUUUUCCUCUAUUUCGCAAAGGGUCUCUGGUUUAAUUCCUAGGUCUUUGAUUCACUAUGAGUUGAGUUUUGUGCAUGGUGAGAGAUAGGGGUUUAUUUUCAUUUUGCUGCCUAUGGAUUUCAAGUUUUCCCAGCACCAUUUGUUAACAAGGCUAUCUUUUCUCCAAUGUAUCUUUUUGGUAACUAUGUCUAGUAUGAGAUAACUGUGUUUAUGUGGUUUUUCUCUCUGUCUUCUAUUCUGUCCCAUUGGUCUACAUGUCUAUUUUG
This 336-nucleotide long non-coding RNA is filed under the name Marmota monax (woodchuck). The record is from RNAcentral. Lineage: Eukaryota; Metazoa; Chordata; Mammalia; Rodentia; Sciuridae.